GAUGAAGAACGUAGCGAAAUGCGAUACGUAAUGUGAAUUGCUGAAUUCAGUGAAUCAUCGAGUCUUUGAACGCACAUUGCGCCCCCUGGUAUUCCGGGGGGCAUGCCUGUCCGAGCGUCAUUGCUGCCCUCAAGCACGGCUUGUGUGUUGGGCCUCCGUCCUCCUCCCGGGGGACGGGCCCGAAAGGCAGCGGCGGCACCGCGUCCGGUCCUCGAGCGUAUGGGGCUUCGUCACCCGCUCUUGUAGGCCCGGCCGGCGCUUGCCGACACAUCAAUCUUUUUUCCAGGUUGACCUCGGAUCAGGUAGGGAUACCCGCUGAACUUAAGCAUAUCAAUAAGCGGAGGA
Molecule: unclassified non-coding RNA, 345 nt
Filed under: soil metagenome
Description: partial contains 5.8S ribosomal RNA, internal transcribed spacer 2, and large subunit ribosomal RNA
Rfam family: 5.8S ribosomal RNA (bases 1-120)
Source: RNAcentral